Molecule: ribosomal RNA, 460 nt
Filed under: uncultured bacterium
Lineage: Bacteria
Description: partial 16S ribosomal RNA
Rfam family: Bacterial small subunit ribosomal RNA
Source: RNAcentral
CCUACGGGAGGCAGCAGUGAGGAAUAUUGGUCAAUGGCCGAGAGGCUGAACCAGCCAAGUCGCGUGAGGGAAGACGGCCCUACGGAUUGUAAACCUCUUUAGGCGGGGAGCAAUGCCGGGCACGUGUGCCCGGAGGGAGAGUACCCGCAGAAUAAGCAUCGGCUAACUCCGUGCCAGCAGCCGCGGUAAUACGGAGGAUGCGAGCGUUAGCCGGAUUUAUUGGGUUUAAAGGGUGCGUAGGCGGACUGUUAAGUCAGCGGUAAAAGCCCGGGGCUCACCCCCGGCGAGCCGUUGAAACUGGCUGUCUUGAGAUGUCGAGAGGUAUGCGGAAUGCGCAGUGUAGCGGUGAAAUGCUUAGAUAUUGCGCAGAACUCCGAUUGCGAAGGCAGCAUACCGGCGGCGAUCUGACGCUGAGGCACGAAAGCGUGGGUAUCGAACAGGAUUAGAUACCCCAGUAGUC